Molecule: non-coding RNA, 29 nt
Filed under: Mus musculus (house mouse)
Lineage: Eukaryota; Metazoa; Chordata; Mammalia; Rodentia; Muridae
Source: RNAcentral
UCUGCUAUUUGAAAUUGCUAUUUAGUUUG